GAAAGACUUGAUUGAUUACAGCCGUGAAACAGGGACUGGGCCUAUGGGUAAGCUUGAUGAGUUUUUCUUGUGAUUUGACCUUUCAUUCUUUAAAUUUGGCAAAUCUCUAGGUGUAAUUAGCACAGUGAUUCGGGAAAACGUCUGUUACACUUUUUGCUGUAUCACUGCUUUAGUUCAUUAGUACACCAUACAAAUAUAAUGGGAGUGUAUUGCUGGUAAGUAUUCAAGUAUUUGAUCUUCCUUUUGCUUAGAUAAUAUAGUUCUUGAACUUCUUUUUGGACUGUUAAAAUUAGCAUUCUCUAUGUUGUAUUGCUAUACAUUCAAUAUACAGUGUCGUAUUGUCUAACCAUAUUGUUGUUCUAACUACUGUUAUUUUUGGACCAAAAUAAGAUUGAUGGCUGAAUAAAGAUAGAGCCUUCAACUGCCUAAAUAAAGUUUAUACUCAACUUGGUAGUGAGAGAAUUCUCACAACUUUUCCAUGUGCCUUGACCAGAUUUCUGUGCUGAUGUUGAUUGUAUGGGGGGUGAUUAAUCUGUUCAUGUGCAUAAUCAUGUGAUUGUAUAAUGGUGCUUCUCAUGUUGCAUGGCUGCCUAUCUUGUGAUAUUUCUUUUUGUUGUAUAUCAUUAUAGCGUCUUUGUGGGGGAACAGUGUCUUUAUCUUUUGAGUGCACACUGAUGUGGAAAAUAUUGAAAAACACAGGAGAAAAUGAAAUUGAUCUCAGAAGAGCUAAAAAAAAUAAAUAUAGAGUUUUUUUUU
Molecule: unclassified non-coding RNA, 756 nt
Filed under: Hevea brasiliensis (rubber tree)
Lineage: Eukaryota; Viridiplantae; Streptophyta; Magnoliopsida; Malpighiales; Euphorbiaceae
Source: RNAcentral